Long non-coding RNA from Lagopus leucura (white-tailed ptarmigan), 657 nucleotides. RefSeq lists it as uncharacterized. The record is from RefSeq and is a predicted model, not a curated record. NCBI's taxonomy places the organism in Eukaryota, Metazoa, Chordata, Aves, Galliformes, Phasianidae. The transcript is spliced from 3 exons.
CCCUCUUGUGUGCUUGGGCCUUCUGUAGCUUUAUUGCUGAGACCACGGUGGAAUUACCCCAAGGUAAAAUUUCAGACUCUUGAAGCCAAUGACCUGACAGAAAUGGGACUUCCUGAAAUGAAGUCAUCAAGGCUGUCCACAUCUGUGAUAACAUCUGGAGAAACUGUGCGUGCCUGCAAAUACAUGCAGCUUCUUCACAGGAGACUGUACACUGAUGUUAAUUGAGAAAGGAAAGCUUGGUGGGCCAGUUGGGAUGCUACACCAUAGAAAUUGUGAAUGCACCUCACUGUGGUUGAUGCUUCAGUUAUGAGCCUCUCAAGAUUUUUCUUGAAGAUUAAAGAGAUGUUCCAGAAAGCAAUUCAGCCCCUUACAGAUCUAAAGCAGCUUGGCCAUGAAUUUUUCUUCUGACUGCAGAGGAAAUCUAAACGUUUACAUUAGUGUUUAAAUUUAGGAUUGUGCUUUUAACUCGCUUCCUAUCCAUUUCCUCAUGUUUUGGCUUAUAUUGAACAGCCUUGGAGUGGUUUCGAGUGCACGUUACCUGCUGUGAUGGUAUCUGCAGAAGGCCAUGAUUAUGCUGCCUUCAGCGAUGGAUUAGUUAUUUAUCUCUUCCUAUGACUUUUGAAAUAUCACCAAACCAUCACCUGGCUUGUAACUGUA